This 2756-nucleotide ribosomal RNA is filed under the name Brucella abortus NI274. RNAcentral's name for it is "bacterial LSU rRNA". It matches the Rfam family "Bacterial large subunit ribosomal RNA". Lineage: Bacteria; Pseudomonadati; Pseudomonadota; Alphaproteobacteria; Hyphomicrobiales; Brucellaceae. The record is from RNAcentral.
UCAAGUGUCUUAAGGGCAUUUGGUGGAUGCCUUGGCAUGCACAGGCGAUGAAGGACGUGAUACGCUGCGAUAAGCGUCGGGGAGGUGCGAAUACCCUUUGAUCCGACGAUUUCCGAAUGGGGCAACCCACCUUAGAUGACUAGAAAAUCUGUUUUGUUGGAGCAACGCUGGAUGGGUUUACACCCAUACAGACCGCUAGGUCGUCGGCCCAUGUGGGCCGCCCCCGCGGAGCGCCAGCAUUCCUCUGGAAUGCGUACGGCGCGUGAGCGAGAACAGCACAGCUUUCUAGUCAUCAUAAAUAAGGUAUCUAACCUUGAAUACAUAGGGGUUAGAAGCGAACCUGGGGAACUGAAACAUCUAAGUACCCAGAGGAAAGGACAUCAAACGAGACUCCGCUAGUAGUGGCGAGCGAACGCGGACCAGGCCAGUGGCUUUUGUGAAUAAAGUGGAACGAGUUGGAAAACUCGACCGAAGUGGGUGAUAGUCCCGUACACGUAGAAUAGCAGAAGUCCUUGAGUAGGGCGGGACACGUGAAAUCCUGUCUGAACAUGGGUCGACCACGAUCCAAGCCUAAGUACUCGUGCAUGACCGAUAGCGAACCAGUACCGUGAGGGAAAGGUGAAAAGCACCCCGACGAGGGGAGUGAAACAGUACCUGAAACCGGAUGCCUACAAACAGUUGGAGCCCAAGGUUUGUCCUGGGUGACAGCGUACCUUUUGUAUAAUGGGUCAGCGACUUAGUGUAUCGAGCAAGCUUAAGCCGGUAGGUGUAGGCGCAGCGAAAGCGAGUCUGAACAGGGCGUUCAGUUCGAUGCAUUAGACCCGAAACCAAGUGAUCUAGCCAUGAGCAGGUUGAAGGUACGGUAACACGUACUGGAGGACCGAACCCAUAUCUGUUGCAAUAGAUCGGGAUGACUUGUGGCUAGGGGUGAAAGGCCAAUCAAACUUGGAGAUAGCUGGUUCUCCGCGAAAUCUAUUUAGGUAGAGCGUCGACCGAAUACCCCCGGGGGUAGAGCACUGGAUGGGCUAUGGGGACUCACCGUCUUACUGAUCCUAACCAAACUCCGAAUACCGGGGAGUACUAGUCGGCAGACACACGGCGGGUGCUAACGUCCGUCGUGGAGAGGGCAACAACCCUGACCACCAUCUAAGGUCCCUAAGUUAUGGCUAAGUGGGAAAGGAUGUGAGGAUCCCAAAACAACCAGGAUGUUGGCUUAGAAGCAGCCAUCAUUUAAAGAAAGCGUAACAGCUCACUGGUCUAAAUAAGGGUCUUUGCGCCGAAAAUGUACCGGGGCUCAAGCCAUACACCGAAGCUGUGGAUGCACGUAUGUGCGUGGUAGCGGAGCGUUCCGUAAGCCUGUGAAGGGACAGUCGUGAGACAUCCUGGAGGUAUCGGAAGUGAGAAUGCUGACAUGAGUAACGAUAAAGGGAGUGAGAGACUCCCUCGCCGAAAGUCCAAGGGUUCCUGCUUAAAGUUAAUCUGAGCAGGGUUAGCCGGCCCCUAAGGCGAGGCCGAAAGGCGUAGUCGAUGGGAACCACGUUAAUAUUCGUGGGCCUGCAGGUGGUGACGGAUCGCGUGUGUUGUGAGGUCUUAUUGGAUUGAUCUUGCAGCGAAGCGGUUCCAGGAAAUAGCUCCUGCAUAUAGACCGUACCCUAAACCGACACUGGUGGACUGGUAGAGAAUACCAAGGCGCUUGAGAGAACUGCGUUGAAGGAACUCGGCAAAAUGCACGCGUAACUUCGGAAGAAGCGUGACCUCACUAUGGGCAACCAUAGGGGGGUGGCACAGACCAGGGGGUAGCGACUGUUUACCAAAAACACAGGGCUCUGCGAAGUCGCAAGACGACGUAUAGGGUCUGACGCCUGCCCGGUGCUGGAAGGUUAAGAGGAGAGGUGCAAGCCUUGAAUUGAAGCCCCAGUAAACGGCGGCCGUAACUAUAACGGUCCUAAGGUAGCGAAAUUCCUUGUCGGGUAAGUUCCGACCUGCACGAAUGGCGUAACGACUUCCCCGCUGUCUCCAACGCAGACUCAGUGAAAUUGAAUUCCCCGUGAAGAUGCGGGGUUCCUGCGGUUAGACGGAAAGACCCCGUGCACCUUUACUAUAGCUUUACACUGGCAUUCGUGACGACAUGUGUAGGAUAGGUGGUAGACUUUGAAGCAGGGGCGCCAGCCUUUGUGGAGUCACCCUUGAAAUACCACCCUUGUUUUUAUGGAUGUCUAACUGCGGCCCGUUAUCCGGGUCCAGGACCGUGUAUGGUGGGUAGUUUGACUGGGGCGGUCGCCUCCUAAAGAGUAACGGAGGCGCGCGAUGGUAGGCUCAGAACGGUCGGAAAUCGUUCGUCGAGUGCAAUGGCAUAAGCCUGCCUGACUGCAAGACUGACAAGUCGAGCAGAGACGAAAGUCGGUCAUAGUGAUCCGGUGGUCCCGCGUGGAAGGGCCAUCGCUCAACGGAUAAAAGGUACGCCGGGGAUAACAGGCUGAUGACCCCCAAGAGUCCAUAUCGACGGGGUUGUUUGGCACCUCGAUGUCGACUCAUCGCAUCCUGGGGCUGGAGCAGGUCCCAAGGGUAUGGCUGUUCGCCAUUUAAAGCGGUACGUGAGUUGGGUUCAGAACGUCGUGAGACAGUUCGGUCCCUAUCUGCCGUGGGUGUAGGAAUAUUGACAGGAUCUGUCCCUAGUACGAGAGGACCGGGAUGGACGUAUCUCUGGUGGACCUGUUGUGGCGCCAGCCGCAUAGCAGGGUAGCUAUAUACGGACG